RNAcentral lists this ribosomal RNA (428 nucleotides) under uncultured bacterium. Its description in RNAcentral is "partial 16S ribosomal RNA". It matches the Rfam family "Bacterial small subunit ribosomal RNA", at positions 338 to 795 of the family's 1533-position model. The record is from RNAcentral.
CCUACGGGAGGCAGCAGUGGGGAAUAUUGCACAAUGGGCGCAAGCCUGAUGCAGCCAUGCCGCGUGUAUGAAGAAGGCCUUCGGGUUGUAAAGUACUUUCAGUGGGGAGGCGUUACCCGCAGAAGAAGCACCGGCUAACUCCGUGCCAGCAGCCCGGUAAUACGGAGGGUGCAAGCGUUAAUCGGAAUUACGGGCGUAAAGCGCACGCAGGCGGUCUGUAAGUCGGAUGUGAAAUCCCCGGGCUCAACCUGGGAACUGCAUUCGAAACUGCAGGCUAGAGUCUUGUAGAGGGGGGUAGAAUUCCAGGUGUAGCGGUGAAAUGCGUAGAGAUCUGGAGGAAUACCGGUGGCGAAGGCGGCCCCCUGGACAAAACUGACGCUCAGGUGCGAAAGCGUGGGGAGCAAACAGGAUUAGAUACCCUUGUAGUC